CCAGGGUCUCCAGACCUACGAAUAAGGAACAAAUGACGUUUGUUGUAGGUGGGGUGAGUAAAGAUUCUAUUCUGUGUGAUCCUGACCAUGUCUAUUACCAACCGUUUGCCUUAACAGCAUCCAUUUCCUCAGUGUCACCUGGAAACUUGCUAAAAAUGCAGACUCUCAGCCUCUGCCCCAGUUCAACUGAAUUAGACCGUCCUCUUUGGCAUAAGAUCCUUAGGCGUCUUAACAGUGAGAGGGGAGAUUAGGGAAGAGGACUCACGGGGUCCAUUGACCUUGAUGCCUCCUGACAGAGUCUUAGUUUUGGAAUUGCUAAAGAUGUAGGUGCAGAAGAGUGCAGCUUGGUGCACGAAUUCAGAGUCCAGCUCAUCAUCAUGCAGUUCUUCAAGCCGGCUAAGCUGCUUCCUCUGAGUGGGUCGAUCAAAGAUAAAGCAUUUCUUCUUUGGGAAGAACUUCCGGAUACAGAGUCGAGGCAGAUUAAACAUUUUAUCUUUUUCACUGGUACCUGGAGGAAGAUAAAAGAGAAUUUGCCUAGUAUAGGGGCUUACACACUUUUUCUGAAUAUUUUAGGCAUUUGCAAGCCAGAUGGUCUUUUUUCAAAGUACUCUAUCUGCCGUCACAGCAUGAAAGCAGCCCUAGACAGUCUAUAAGUGAAGGGGCAUAGCUGUUUUCCAGUAAAACCCUAUUUACAAAGACAGCUGGCCAUCAUUUGACUGUGGGCCAUAGUCUGUGAACCCCUGGAUUAAUGCACUGUUCAUGCUUUUAUUUAAUUUCUUCAAAUAAAUGACCAUUCUACUCCAUACUCUGGCUAAUUACAGCAUCACAAGCCCUAAGAAGAUCAUAUCAAUCUAGUCACAGCACAGGGAAAGGUAAAAGAAAAAGCAACUCUUUCUUAGAACAAGAGAAAAUAACUUAAAAUCAAAUCUAUUAAUUCAGGUAUUAAAGAAGCUCUCAGGUUAAGUAAUGGCCCCCGAGAAGAAACAGAAAACAUAAAUAUAAGAAAACUGAAUGGAAAACUAAAGAAUGAUAGUUUUGGGUGCUGACCUCAUUUAUCAGUUCUCAGUCCCCUUUACCUUUCUUCAGCUUGAGUGAAUUCUCCAGGUACUCGUCUGGUGUGAUACAUUGCCCAUCUGUUUCCAAGUCUAGGGAGAAAUCCCUCAGCGUCCACACAAAGUCUGGAAAGAAGCUCACAAAGUCAGCUGAGUCCUCAACCCCGUCCUCCUCAGGGGAGGAUUUUGCCCUGAUUCUGUCUGUCAGCUCUGUCACAUAGCUGAGCAGCAAAUUCAGGAAAACUGGCAUAAAAGAAGAGUGCCGCCUCUCCUGCGAUAUUUCCACAUACUCAAAACUGUCGUUUCGCGUUUGUCCUUUCUUUUUUUAGCGGAUACAAACUACUCUACAUAAAGCAGACAGGCAACAAGGAUUUACUGUAAAACACAGGAAACCACAUUCAACGUCCUGCAAUCACCCCCAAUGGAAAAUAAUAUGAAAACAACCACAUAUACACCUGACUAUUGUUGCUGUACACCUGGAACUAACAAUGUAAGUCAACUAUACUUCAACUUUUUAAAAAGCCUUGACAUGCUCCAAAGGGCUCAUGCUAUUUUGGCACUGCCAGUUUGCUGCCAGGGACAUCUGGAUGGGGCUCUUCGCCUGAGGAGCAAUGCUAGGCUUACCACCUUGUUCUUAACCCAGGUAUCAAUUCUUCAGUGGGUACAUAGGACUUUUUUCCCUGCCCUUGAAUUAUUUUUUAUGUUUCUCUUUUUGGGUUUGAUUCACCAGGAUUCACAGUUAGGCAGCUAUCUUUUUUAAAUACAGGUCUCCCCUCUGAAUGUGAUGCUGUUCUGGACCCCAGAAAGGAUACUGUAGUUGGUCCAUGGCCUGCUGGUUAAUGGUUCCCAUACUAUUGUAUACAAACGUGCUGCUUAGCAGUAUUGCUAGGGCAAAGAUCCAGGAGUCAUUCUGGUUGUCACCCUGGGAAUCAGAACACAUUUGGGCCAAGAUUAUAUUUCAUUGUCAUGGCACUUUCCAGAUCAGCAGGAGUAAAAGGAUGUUCCUUUAAUUAGAGGUUUUUAAAUUUUUUUUUAGACUAAUGACCUACAAAAGGAAACCAAAUCUAAGCAAAAAUGAUUGUCAGUAGGACCUGAACUUUGUUUCAUCUUUUUAUUUGUUUUUAGAGGAGGUACUGGGGAUUGAACCCAGGGCCUUAUGCAUGUCAGGCAUGUACUCUACCACUGAGCCACAUCCUCCCCCAGGACUUGAACUUUGAAUAGUUUUCUGAUUGGGAUUUUUCGUUUACACUAAUUCUGACUACGCCCUCUUAAGAUCAUUGAUAGAUAAUUGCAAAACAAAUAGUCAAUGUUGUUAGACUUUGUAAGACCUUAAAUAUAAUUUAAAUUUAAAUUUUUCUCUUCAUUUUUACAGAAAAUUGUCUUAAUAUAAGAAUAAUAAUACUUGGAUCAAUCAUUCAGCAAUUAUUAUGCACCUAACAUUUUCCACUACUUACCUUAUGAAAUAUUCAAAAUAAUACUAUGAGGCAAAUGUAGAUCUGUUAUAUGUGUUUUACAGAUCAGAAAGCUGAGCUUAAGAGAGGUCAAAUAACUUGUGAGGGUCACUGCAUUACUGACAGAGUUUAAAUUUAAAGCCAGCGGUAUGGGACUUCAGAACCUGAUCCCUUAACUAAAGUUCUUUGCAGGAUAAGAUUCAUUACACUGAUUUUAUUUGUGCUACCUUCAUGCAUCUGGUUCACUGGCGUAGCCUACAACCAACCUAUCAUUAAUAAUUAGAAUACUCUCUACUGACCACUAUGCUCUGCUUCUAGGAUUCUGCCUAAUGAAUAUUUUCCUGACCCAUAGUUGUUAAGAUUGGUCUCAUGGCACGUACACAGAAAUGAAAAAAAAACAUGAUUGAGUGCAAGCUCUUAUUUAAAGAAAAAUUAAGUAGUGUAGAGAC
Vicugna pacos (alpaca) is the source of this 2952-nucleotide non-coding RNA. NCBI's taxonomy places the organism in Eukaryota, Metazoa, Chordata, Mammalia, Artiodactyla, Camelidae. The record is from RefSeq and is a predicted model, not a curated record.